UCUUUUACUGUGAAACUGCGAAUGGCUCAUUAAAUCAGUUAUCGUUUAUUUGAUAGUACCCUACUACAUGGAUACCUGUGGUAAUUCUAGAGCUAAUACAUGCGCAAAACCCCGACUUCGGAAGGGGUGUAUUUAUUAGAUAAAAAACCAAUGCCCUUCGGGGCUCCUUGGUGAUUCAUAAUAACUUCACGAAUCGCAUGGCCUUGCGCCGGCGAUGGUUCAUUCAAAUUUCUGCCCUAUCAACUUUCGAUGGUAGGAUAGUGGCCUACCAUGGUGGCAACGGGUAACGGGGAAUUAGGGUUCGAUUCCGGAGAGGGAGCCUGAGAAACGGCUACCACAUCCAAGGAAGGCAGCAGGCGCGCAAAUUACCCAAUCCCGAUACGGGGAGGUAGUGACAAUAAAUACUGAUACAGGGCUCUUUUGGGUCUGUAAUUGGAAUGAGAACAAUCUAAAUCCCUUAACGAGGAACAAUUGGAGGGCAAGUCUGGUGCCAGCAGCCGCGGUUAUUCCAGCUCCAAUAGCGUAUAUUAAAGUUUGUUGCAGUUAAAAAGCUCGUAGUUGAACUUUGGGCCCGUCCUGCCGGUCCGCCUCACCGCGAGUACUGGUCCGGAUGGGCCUUUCUUUCUGGGGAAUCCCAUGGCUUUCACUGGCUGUGGCGGGGAACCAGGACUUUUACUGUGAAAAAAUUAGAGUGUUCAAAGCAGGCCUUUGCUCGGAUACAUUAGCAUGGAAUAAUAGAAUAGGACGUGCGGUUCUAUUUUGUUGGUUUCUAGUGACCGCCGUAAUGAUUAAUAGGGAUAGUCGGGGGCGUCAGUAUUCAGCUGUCAGAGGUGAAAUUCUUGGAUUUGCUGAAGACUAACUACUGCGAAAGCAUUCGCCAAGGAUGUUUUCAUUAAUCAGGGAACGAAAGUUAGGGGAUCGUAAGACGAUCAGAUACCGUCGUAGUCUUAACCAUAAACUAUGCCGACUAGGGUAUCGGGUCGGGGUUUCUAUGAUGACCCGUCUCGGCACCUUACGUAGAAAUCAAAGUUUUU
This 1034-nucleotide ribosomal RNA is filed under the name Talaromyces funiculosus. RNAcentral describes it as "SSU rRNA". It matches the Rfam family "Eukaryotic small subunit ribosomal RNA", at positions 72 to 1108 of the family's 1831-position model. The record is from RNAcentral. Lineage: Eukaryota; Fungi; Ascomycota; Eurotiomycetes; Eurotiales; Trichocomaceae.